UUUUAAUCCCAGAGNUUCAUAGCGUAUAUUAAAGUUGUUGCAGUUAAAAAGCUCGUAGUUGGAUUUGUGGCAGUCGCAUGCGGCCCGGCAUUCGUGUCGGUGUUUGCUCGCGUCGCCAUCCUUGGGUGGAACCUGUGUGGCAUUAGGUUGUCGUGCAGGGGAUGCCCAUCAUUUACUGUGAAAAAAUUAGAGUGUUCAAAGCAGGCUUAUGCCGUUGAAUAUAUUAGCAUGGAAUAAUAAGAUAGGACCUUGGUACUAUUUUGUUGGUUUGCGCACCAAGGUAAUGAUUAAUAGGGACAGUUGGGGGUAUUCGUAUUCCAUUGUCAGAGGUGAAAUUCUUGGAUUUCUGGAAGACGAACUACUGCGAAAGCAUUUACCAAGGAUGUUUUCAUUAAUCAAGAACGAAAGUUAGGGGAUUCGAAGAUGAUUAGAUCCCCCCCCAAGUCCAAA
This 450-nucleotide ribosomal RNA is filed under the name Nitzschia palea. RNAcentral's name for it is "SSU rRNA". It matches the Rfam family "Eukaryotic small subunit ribosomal RNA", at positions 577 to 1029 of the family's 1831-position model. Lineage: Eukaryota; Bacillariophyta; Bacillariophyceae; Bacillariales; Bacillariaceae. The record is from RNAcentral.